GCACCAGUAGUCUAGUGGUAUGACUCGGCCUUGCCAAGGCCGUGGCCCGGGUUCAAUUCCCGGCUGGUGCA
Molecule: transfer RNA, 71 nt
Filed under: Nanobdellati archaeon
Lineage: Archaea; Nanobdellati
Description: tRNA-Gly
Rfam family: tRNA
About the family: Transfer RNA (tRNA) molecules are approximately 80 nucleotides in length.
Source: RNAcentral